Molecule: ribosomal RNA, 253 nt
Filed under: uncultured bacterium
Lineage: Bacteria
Description: partial 16S ribosomal RNA
Rfam family: Bacterial small subunit ribosomal RNA
Source: RNAcentral
UACGGAGGGAGCUAGCGUUGUUCGGAAUUAUUGGGCGUAAAGGGCGCGUAGGCGGCCUUUCAAGUGACGGGUGAAAUCCCUCGGCUUAACCGAGGAACUGCCUGUCAGACUGGAAGGCUUGAGACCGGGAGAGGUGAGUGGAAUUCCCAGUGUAGCGGUGAAAUGCGUAGAUAUUGGGAGGAACACCAGUGGCGAAGGCGGCUCACUGGACCGGUACUGACGCUGAGGCGCGAAAGCGUGGGGAGCAAACAGG